Molecule: long non-coding RNA, 7565 nt
Filed under: Fragaria vesca (wild strawberry)
Lineage: Eukaryota; Viridiplantae; Streptophyta; Magnoliopsida; Rosales; Rosaceae
Description: long non-coding RNA (FVES_LNC001966)
Source: RNAcentral
AGGUAUCAAUAUCAUCGUUUUCUUUGCUUCUUUGUUCCUUGGUUUCUUCAUACAUGCGAUGAAAGUCGAACAGAAGAAAUUGAUCAUGGAAUAUUACUCAUCAUUUGGAAAUAACCCAGUGCAGCCAUUCAAGGUGUUACAUGGAGGGGUGUCAGCUCUAGUAUCUGAGGCUCUGGCUAGCAUAGGAGCUCACCUGGCUUCUGGUUUACAAAGGGUGGCUGGAAUUCACCUCAGCAUCAACCACAUGAAGCGAGCUGAGCUCGGUGAUCUUAUCUAUGGGGAAGCCGUACCCAUCAGCGUUGGCAAAACCAUUCAGGUUCAUCUUCCACAUUCAUACCCUCUAGUAAUUAGUACUUGAUUUUCCACAUUUACAACUAAUGACUUGUAAUGGUAGUUGACUAAUUGCUCAUACAACCAGUAAGUUUAAGUUGAAGAAACAGAUGACAUUAUAAAUCUGCAUAUAUAAUACUGGUUUUGCAUUAUCAAUAACAUUAUCCAUUUGAGGCAAAACAUAAUGUGUGGACUCCAGUUCACAUGCCAAUUUCCCAGCAUUAUAAGAAUCUAUUGGCACCAUCCUGUCUUUCUGGAACUAUGGAAAUGUGAAUGCCAAAACGAAAUGAUCCAAGAAUGGGGGUUCCCUCCACUUUGGGGAUUAAUGUACUUAAGUACCAAUAAUUUAUCAAUGACUUCUAUAAUCACAUCCCACAAACAGAUUACACGAUUCUGAAUUCUACUGAUAUGGUAAUUUUGAUUAGGUUUGGGAAGUGCGACUUUCAAAGAUUGAUCCUUCGAACUCAGACAUCAAAUCCCUUGUAUCAUCAGCAAGAGUCACUCUUCUGUGCAACAUGCCUGUACCACAACAUGCAAAAGAUGCAGGUGAAGCCCUCAAGAAGUAUGCCAAAUUAUAGAACUCUUGUAUCCCUGUUUAUGUUUCUACAAUUGUCACUGAACCUAAUGAAGAAACUAAAGAAUCUAUUACAAGCAUAUAAACCUCUAUUUCAGUGUUGCAUUCGCAGACAAGUGUGAGCGUCAAACAAGCAUGAAGUACGCAUCUUUUUUGUUUGUUGUUGCUGUCUUUCCUUUUUCAAGAUAUGAACAAAACAGAAGGGAGUGCCUAGACCUGGCUCUGGUAUCUGAAUAUAUUUAGGGAUGAAAUGCAUUAGUGCAUUACCUUGAUGAUCGGAACACCUACUAGGCAGUUUCAGUUUUCUAUCAAAGAAUCAGUUAAAGGAAAAUCUUCCAUGAUUAUCCCAAUCCAAAGCUACAAUCAUUGACAUGAUAAAGUGCACUAGUUCUAACUGUUUAUGAAUCAAUAUUAUCCCCACACUAAAGAGAUCAACUUUAUCACUCCAAUCAUCGUCCCCAACAACUAAAGUUGUAACUUCAUAAAUCAUACUAGCUGAACGGGCCCUAGUUGACAUUGUUGUUGAAAUCGAACUUGAGUAACUGACUAAGAAACCAUUAAUACAGAGCAUACUGCAUGCCGACACUAAGCUGGAGUGAAGUUACUAACUUUGCACCUUAAUUCUACAUGUGUACAAAUCGAUUCGACAGCAAACUGUCACUUUGAAUUCUUCCCCGAGCCAGUUGCAGAAAUCAUUUGCCUUUAAAACACAUAGUAUCAAAUUAGUAUGAGCAAAAGGGUCUGCUAUGCAAACAGAAUUGGGAAAGCAAAUCAUGCUAGUACCUGAUACUAGUAAGCUGUUUUGUUAAAUCAUUGACCUCAAGGCCAGAGAGUUUCAAAGAAAGCAGAGUUCCAGGUACCUCCUGGGAGACUACAUGGGAUAGCUUCUCCAUUGAAGUUGCCAAUUUUCUCAAAGCCUGAAUUCCCAUUAAACUUGAUUGGUAUAUGCAAUGAUCCAAUGACCUUAUUGCUCAAUGCUCAAAGAAAACGUAACUUACAUUGAUAGUUGGAAUGGAAAAUAUAGCAAGGGAGAGAAGCGCAGCAAAAGCCUAGAAAUUACAGACAGUGAAACGUUAAUCAGAAGUUACUAAUAAUUGUGUGUUUGGUCAUUGUGAUGUAAAUGGAGGAUUGAGUUUACCGUGGAGAGGACGAAGAGCAGUGAGGCAAGGCCCAAUUCGGGAGAAGGUCGAAUCCGCAGGGUUCUGACGGGUUGUACGGACGGAGCAGUUUCAGAGGAAGAAGAAGAAGAAGAAGAAAGCAGAGGUUGUGUUUGGGAGGGUGGGAUAUCGAUAUUUGAUAGUUGCAACUUCGAUAGAGAUGGAUUAUUCAAUUUUCGUGACACGACGGAGGAAGCUUUCCGGCUGCCGGGGAAAGGGAUUGCCGGUUUUAACGGGACGGCCACCGGAACCAUUUGACCCCACAUGAUGUAUCAACUGUAGGCCUGAAGCUCUAUUAUCGUCGAGGACCAAAGUGAGCGACGUUUUGUUUGAGAAAUUUUUCUCUGCUACCGGAGGGCCAUGUCAGCAUAUCUAAUGGUUCUUCUUAACCAAUAUAAAGUCGACACAUCGUUAUUUUUAAAACAACCCCCCAUAUCAAGAUAUAUCUAAUCAUUAAUUUAACAUUUAAGAUACUUUCAUAUAUUGUUAUUAUUUCUUAAACCNNNNNNNNNNNNNNNNNNNNCAAAUAUUUGUAUACUCAUAAUGAUGACGAUGAGGCGGUGAAGAAAUAAAUAAAAAUGGUCAUGAGUAUCAAAUAUUUGAACAAAAGCACAAGUUCAUUCGUGAUUCAGAAUACAUAGCAAUAUUGAGUGAAUUCAAGAUUACUGGUGAAUGGCAUCGGUGCCAAACUCAAGUACGCAAGCUAGCAUAGUAAUCUAGAGUAAAUUCAUUGGUUAUGGAAUAUGGAUUAUACAAUUGAGCAACUAUUGUUAUGGAUUUGCAUGACUCAAUGAUCUUUUUUUUUAUGAACAAGAGGAGUGGAUUUAUUGGAAGAGAACUCGGUGUUUUUUUCUUUUUGAUGAAGAGGAUUUGGACAUUUGGUAUUUUGGUUUAAGAAAUAAUAACAAUAUAUGAAGGUAUCUUAAGUGUUAAAUUAAUAACUAGAUAUAUCUUGAUAUGGAUUGUUUUAAAAAUAACCAUGUGUCGACUUUAUGUUGGUCAAGGAGGACCACUGGAUAGCACAGAAAAAUUUCUCGUUUUGUUUUCAGAAAAUGGCAACGAAAAUUUCUCAAUAAAAAAAAUAAUCUUAAAAUGGAGCUUUUGUUCGUACCUCCUAAAUUAGUACUUGCAUUUUUUAUUCUUAUAUAUACACAAAACUUUUAACAUUACCCUUUUAUCCAUACUAUUUUUUCCUUUUACAUAUCCUUAGAACCCAGACUCGUAUCCAUGACAACAUAAAUCGUCUUCUAAAGUUUAUAACAACAUAAAUCGUCUUUUAUGACCAUUUUUUAAAGAUUUCAUGCUAGCAUUUAACGUCCAAUUUGGAUGAAAUUUUAGCAAUUGAGAUUGAUAUAUGAAAAUUAAAAACUUUAGGAAUAAAUUUUCAGAAUUAAGAGUAUAUGGACUGAAAUGAUGUUAACCCCAAACCUUAGAGGGGUAAACUGAAAUUAAUCCUAGAAAUAAUACUGAACCAGUCCUGCAAAGGCUUCUAUUUUGCUCUUAGUGCACAUGUUAAAAUAUUAUUCAGAAAAUCUCGGUUGGGCAACCUACUACUUGGCUCAGUGCCUGGCUUUGGCAACUUCUACUCAUGAACUGGUGUCGAACACCUUGCAGAACCCUACAAGAACCCUACAGACUGCACAUUUUCAUAACAAUGCAUGUCACAUCCCGAAUUUUGAAAACAUAAUUUUUAAAAAUUUGGACAUAAAAAUUCCCAAAAAUAUACCGAAAACGCUGUCAUUAAUUCCAAAAACCAAACUCAAUGACUGGAAAUAUAAAUGUCAAUAUAAGCUUAACACGAAGUUAAACAUUAGAUAUCUAUAUUUACAUUAAACUUGAAAUGUCAAGUAAAAUGAAACGCUCACUAAGAGCUUAAUACAAUCCGAAAAUUAAUAAUAAACAAAAAGUCUAACUCCUAGGAAGCAGCUACUAAGCUUCUAGAUCCCAACUUUGUAUUGUCCUCACUUGCAAGAUCAAACCCCUACACCAUGGAAUGGUGCACCGGGUUGAAAGAACAAACCCAAUAAGCUUUUGCAAGCCUAUAUGAGUAACCUUAAAUUCUACAUGCACUCUUAACUAACUACAACUAGAAACCUUGCAUUGGUCCAAUCCAGUGAAAGGCACAUAAACAAUCAUUGUAAUCAAUGCAUAUGAAUUAAAUCAUAAAAUUACUUUAAACAAACAAUUGAAAGUAUAAUAAUUAGUUCAGGUGAGUACAUUGAGAUCAAACAAAUAUGAAAAUAGUGAUCACUGCUUAGUUCAAGAGAUCACAAGAAACACUAAGAUAUUCAAAUUAGAAUAACAAUAAUUCAAUACGAAACACAUCAUUAACAAAAUACCAUUAGCAAUACCGAUCGCUUGACUACAAAUCUCAACAUCAAUCCACAACAACUACACAAAAUCAUCACACGUAUCAUCACACAAAUCAUCUACAUAGAUUCAUCACACAUAUCAUCUACACAUAUUCAUCACACAGAUCAUCACACCACACAAGUUCAUCACACAAAUCACCACACAGGUUCAUCACUCAGAUCACCACACAGGUCGUCCCACAUAUCACCACACAGGUCGUCACCAAACACCGAUUACUUUUCUCUAAAUAAACUCAAGGUCUUGAUCACAAACCUUUCCAAAUUACGUGUUCUAAUAACCCACCGAUCCUCAACAAAUGACACACACUUCAAUCAAGCCCCUAGCCAAGUAUACUCCCCAAAUCAUUUCUUUAAACGAUCAAUACAUUAUACGACAAAAGUGGACAUAACACAUAAUUUCACCAAGCACAUAUACUUCCAUGAACAUAUAUAAAUGCCACUAAUAUCAAAUAUAGCUACAAUCGGGAAAGGCUCAAGAAAGCUGAUAUAUAUUAAAAGAACCAUUUUACUUACUCGUGAACCGUGAACGAUUAAGUUCACUUUCGAGAGCACAAUUCCACAAUUUAGUAAAUCAACACAAUAUGUAAGAAAGUCGGUUCCUACUUGAACCUUAGGAAGGUUACUCACCUUGAACUCCUGUUGCUUCUUCUAUUGCCACACGUAAAGCACAAGCACGCUCCCGUCAACACCUAAGUAGUGAAAUCGUUAUCUUAGUAACAAUUGAACUAAUGUAAGUUUCAUACUCAGGCCGAAACUCUAAUCUUAGCCCAAGGUCUUGUCACUCGGGACAAUACUUCAUCUGAGACCUCCUAAGAUCACCGGAACGUCCGACAUAACCUGUAGGACAACUAAUAAUGAUUCUACUGUUCGGAUGCACUCUAAUUUAAAACCAGAACUAGGCUAACACUGAGGGGGAAACCCUAUCAUGCUCAUUCAACAUCUGAAUCAUACAAUCUAUACACCCGCACGCUCAUAUCGAUGAGUACAUGAUGAUGGGACAGACUACUACCCCAAGUGAAGCUGUAUGCGCCGCCACACGCCACCACACACGGCUGCACGUGGGCCCCAUGCGCCACCCUACUACCUGUAAAUUGGCACAACCCAUUACACCCAACUUGUACAUCAAGGCAAAGAGAGCAACUUUCGUACCUGGAGUGACCUCUAAUUCAGCCGGAGUACGCCGAAAACUCACUUGAAAGUUUGAAACCCAACUCUGCAACACCAAGCUUCGAAUCGAGCUUCAAGACUACCAGUAGUCGAACCAAGACGCAAAAGAGCUUCUAUCCUGACCGGUUUCAAGCCUCAACACUGCCGCCAGUUGUGGAAAUUCUGAUCGAGUUGAAAACCGGGUCGCCACCCUCACUAUGGUGCUCGAUUUGCACAGAUCAGCUCGAGUCGUCCUCACUCACCAACACAGGGAGGAUUGCGUCGAGGAGAGGAAAAUUUUUUGACCGGUGCCGCCUUCUGAGUCGACCGGAAAAACCGGGUCGGGUCGGGUCGGAAAGAAUUCUCAGAUAGUGAGGGAGAGGUGCGAGAGAGAAAAGAAGAAGAGAAAAGUGUGUCGUGCAAAAUAAGGGAAACCCACUUUCCUAUUUAUACCCAAGUUUCCACAAAGCCACGAACUUCCGUUGACCAUAACUGUUCGUACGAUGUCCGUUUUAUACGUGCCACGUGUCUACGAACUUGUAUCAUUGUGCUUUAUAACUUUCAUGAAUGAAGUUUCUCGAGAAACCCAACAAAUAAAAAGUUAACUCUAUGACCCUUAAAUUAAAACAUUUUCGGGUAAUUUAUGCGUUCGAACACUUCCGUUCUUCCUUCGAACCUCAAAAACACACUAACUUCUAACUCAAAAAUUCUCAAAUAAUAUUAGAAACUAAUAUCGAAUUUCCGGGUAUUACAAUGCAUAGACCUCAAAAUCAAGAGUCAGGGGCACCUUCAUCUUUACAUGGAGGCGAACAUCCAAGGCAACGAAUCAGCUCAUGCAGACGGUAGAACACCUUUCUUCAAAGUGUAUACUGAACACUGAAUCCAAUGAAGUAAGCAAGUAUAAAACAAGAAUUUUAAGAACAGAUUAAAACUAUUAAGAAUCUAUGCAUAUAUGUCAUCCAGUCUGAAGUAUCUUACUUCUUGUUCCCUUGAUACUUGUUUUCCAAACUACAUAAACUGCUGCAGAAUUAUAAAUUUUCAUUUGGUUAUUGCCAUUUAGAUGAAGUAUACCGAAUCAACUCUUCUCUACCACCCAAACAAAAGCAGACCAAAGUAAAACACCAACUACAAGAAAAAGAAGGAGAGCUCCCUUCCACGAUGGGAUACACAUAUAUACGAACAUAGGCUGAUGUGAAAUCCACACACAGAAUCAGUCACCUCAUCACCACCACCUACCACCGCCCAACAUCGUAGAAUGAAUCGACUAAAAUGCCCUUCCAUUAACAGGACCACCUCCAAUCAAACGACACGAUUCCCACCACCAACCAAGAAAAUACCAGAUGAUGAAGUGAUGAUAUCAUAUUAAAUCACCAAACGCAGAAGAGUAUAAGGAGAGGCAUCUCACCAACUCCCACAUUGGAAAACCCACAAAAACGUAGAAUUGAGUUGGCAUUGUUUGGUUUGUUAACUUUGUAUCGAUCAUCUAUAUACAUAAAGGAAAAUAAGCCGAAACAAGAAGAAGGAAUAAAGAACACGUACAUACCAUUGCUUCUCAGAAGUCAGAACAAACAACCUGGUAAUCUGACAUAGUCAUGGCUCUCCAGUCUCAUCCCCAACCGCCACCACCGUCAUCGGAGGACAAGACGGAGGCUCUAGAUCCUCUGCUUCAUGCAUUCGGGUUCAAGGUUGAAGAAGUGACACCACAUAAGAUCUGUGGUCACCUCAGAGUCACCGAAAAGAGCUGCCAGGUAUCAUCUAUUUCUUUGUUUCUUCAAACAUGAAUUCUUUCAUGAUGAAAGUCGAUCAAAGAGAAGAAAUUAAUCAUGGAAUAUAUUACUAACAAUUUGCAAAUAACUGCAUGUGAUCAGCCAUUCAAGGUGUUACAUGGAGGUGUCUCAGCUCUGAUAUCCGAGUCUCUGGCAAGCAUGGGAGCUCACCUGGCUUCUGGUUUACAAAGGGUGGCUGGAAUUCACCUCAGCAUCAAUC